This 440-nucleotide ribosomal RNA is filed under the name uncultured bacterium. RNAcentral describes it as "partial 16S ribosomal RNA". It matches the Rfam family "Bacterial small subunit ribosomal RNA", at positions 338 to 795 of the family's 1533-position model. The record is from RNAcentral.
CCUACGGGAGGCAGCAGUGGGGAAUAUUGCACAAUGGGGGAAACCCUGAUGCAGUGACGCCGCGUGAGUGAAGACGUAUCUCGGUACGUUAAGCUCUAUCUGUAGGGAAGAAAAUGACGGUACCUGACCAUGAAGCUCCGGCUAACUACGUGCCAGCAGCCGCGGUAAUACGUAGGGAGCAAGCGUUAUCCGGAUUUACUGGGUGUAAAGGGAGCGUAGACGGCUGGACAAGACUGGAGUGAAAUCCCGGGGCUUAACCCUGGAACUGCUUUUGAAACUGUGCGGCUGGAGUGCAGGUGGGGUAGGCGGAAUUCGUGGUGUAGCGGUGAAAUGCGUAGAUAUUAGGAGGAACACCGAUGGCGAAGGCGGCUUACUAGACUGUAACUGACGUUGAGGCUCGAAAGCGUGGGGAGCAAACAGGAUUAGAUACCCGGGUAGUC